UGGAGCAUGUGGUUUAAUUCGAAGCAACGCGAAGAACCUUACCAGGUCUUGACAUCCCGAUGCUAUUUCUAGAGAUAGAAGUUACUUCGGUACAUCGGUGACAGGUGGUGCAUGGUUGUCGUCAGCUCGUGUCGUGAGAUGUUGGGUUAAGUCCCGCAACGAGCGCAACCCUUAUCUUUAAUUGCCAGCAUUCAGUUGGGCACUUUAAAGAGACUGCCGGUGUUAAACCGGAGGAAGGUGGGGAUGACGUCAAGUCCUCAUGGCCUUUAUGCUUAGGGCUACACACGUGCUACAAUGGGUGGUGCAAAGAGAAGCCAACUCGCGAGAGCGCGCCAAUCUCAAAAAGCCAUCCUCAGUUCGGAUUGGAGUCUGCAACUCGACUCCAUGAAGUUGGAAUCGCUAGUAAUCGCGGAUCAGCAUGCCGCGGUGAAUACGUUCCCGGGCCUU
Molecule: ribosomal RNA, 447 nt
Filed under: uncultured Smithella sp.
Lineage: Bacteria; Pseudomonadati; Thermodesulfobacteriota; Syntrophia; Syntrophales; Smithellaceae
Description: bacterial SSU rRNA
Rfam family: Bacterial small subunit ribosomal RNA
Source: RNAcentral